GGAUCCAGACUUUGAUCCUGGCUCAGGAUGAACGCUAGCUACAGGCUUAACACAUGCAAGUCGAGGGGAAACGACAUCGAAAGCUUGCUUUUGAUGGGCGUCGACCGGCGCACGGGUGAGUAACGCGUAUCCAACCUGCCCAUCACUUGGGGAUAACCUUGCGAAAGUAAGACUAAUACCCAAUGAUAUCCCACGAAGGCAUCGAAUGGGAUUAAAGAUUUAUCGGUGAUGGAUGGGGAUGCGUCUGAUUAGCUUGUUGGCGGGGUAACGGCCCACCAAGGCUACGAUCAGUAGGGGUUCUGAGAGGAAGGUCCCCCACAUUGGAACUGAGACACGGUCCAAACUCCUACGGGAGGCAGCAGUGAGGAAUAUUGGUCAAUGGGCGAGAGCCUGAACCAGCCAAGUAGCGUGCAGGACGACGGCCCUAUGGGUUGUAAACUGCUUUUAUAAGGGAAUAAAGUGAGUCUCGUGAGACUUUUUGCAUGUACCUUAUGAAUAAGGACCGGCUAAUUCCGUGCCAGCAGCCGCGGUAAUACGGAAGGUCCGGGCGUUAUCCGGAUUUAUUGGGUUUAAAGGGAGCGUAGGCCGGAGAUUAAGCGUGUUGUGAAAUGAAGUGGCUCAACCUCUGCACUGCAGCGCGAACUGGUCUUCUUGAGUACGCACAACGUGGGCGGAAUUCGUGGUGUAGCGGCGAAAUGCUUAGAUAUCACGAAGAACUCCGAUUGCGAAGGCAGCUCACGGGAGCGCAACUGACGCUGAAGCUCGAAAGUGCGGGUAUCGAACAGGAUUAGAUACCCUGGUAGUCCGCACGGUAAACGAUGGAUGCCCGCUGUUGGCCUGAAUAGGUUAGCGGCCAAGCGAAAGCAUUAAGCAUCCCACCUGGGGAGUACGCCGGCAACGGUGCAAAUCGAAUGAAUUGACG
RNAcentral lists this ribosomal RNA (922 nucleotides) under uncultured Bacteroidota bacterium. RNAcentral's name for it is "bacterial SSU rRNA". It matches the Rfam family "Bacterial small subunit ribosomal RNA", at positions 1 to 915 of the family's 1533-position model. The record is from RNAcentral. Lineage: Bacteria; Pseudomonadati; Bacteroidota.